UACGUAGGGGGGGCGAGCGUUAUCCGGAUUUUACUGGGGCGUAAAGCGCGUUAAGGCGGUUGGCAAAGUUGGUUUGUGAAAAUCUCAGGGGCUCAACCCCUGAAAAUUUGCGACCAAUACUGGUCGACUAGAGUGUGAGAGAGGAAGGUGGAAUUCCCGGUGUAGUAGUGAAAUGCGUAGAUAUCGGGAGGAACACCAGUGGCGAAGGCGGCCUUCUGGCUCAUAACUUGACGCUGUAGCGCG
RNAcentral lists this ribosomal RNA (243 nucleotides) under uncultured bacterium. Its description in RNAcentral is "partial 16S ribosomal RNA". It matches the Rfam family "Bacterial small subunit ribosomal RNA", at positions 522 to 755 of the family's 1533-position model. The record is from RNAcentral.